RNAcentral lists this long non-coding RNA (304 nucleotides) under Elaeis guineensis (African oil palm). RNAcentral describes it as "long non-coding RNA (EGUI_LNC054615)". The record is from RNAcentral. Lineage: Eukaryota; Viridiplantae; Streptophyta; Magnoliopsida; Arecales; Arecaceae.
CUUUAACCUUUAAAACUAUCAAACCCAAACCCAAACCCAAGAAUCACCUUGUAGAUGUAGGACAAAACAAAAUCAAGCAUGCAAAGAGAUAGAAAUUUAUACUUUCUCUAACAAAUAGUAUGGUAAGUAGGUGAUCUCCAUAAGACUCUAAAGUAGAAGCCCUCCAAUGAUGAUCUACACGGAAGUUGGCCAAGAUCCUUCCUAACCGGUGCGCUGCUGCAGCCUCUUCUUCACAAGAAUACUGUUGGUUUCAAAUUCGAAGAACGAUUGCACCAAUGCCCAGUUACCUUCAAUUUUGCCACUA